Long non-coding RNA from Oncorhynchus gorbuscha (pink salmon), 359 nucleotides. RefSeq lists it as uncharacterized. The transcript has 2 exons. Lineage: Eukaryota; Metazoa; Chordata; Actinopteri; Salmoniformes; Salmonidae. The record is from RefSeq and is a predicted model, not a curated record.
CCUAUGGGCUCUGGUCUAAAGUAGUGCACUAUAUAGGGAACAGGGUGCCGUUUGGGACUUAGCCUAGUCUCUCUGUCUGUUUGUCUGUCUCCGUCUGUCUGUCACACAGAUGGCUCAGAGCAGGAAGACAUUGUCGGCUGUGGCUCUUCUGAAUCAACAUUUGGAGUAAACAUCCUACAACAUCCUCCAAAUCUUCUUUCAAAAGAGGGAGAAUCGGGGACUCUAGAAUGUGCACACGAUGACGCAGAGUUCUAUAGAAUGUUCUGGUACAAACAGAACACCAACGGAAACAUGGAGCUGGUGGCUUAUUCUAUGGGGAAGAGUGUGGCGGACGUAGAGCCCAUCUUUGACAAGGCAAA